GGGGAGGCCCUAGCACAGGUGCUGCAUGGCCGUCGUCAGCUCGUGCCGUGAGGUGUUGGGUUAAGUCCCGCAACGAGCGCAACCCCCGCCGUUAGUUGCCAGCGGUUCGGCCGGGCACUCUAACGGGACUGCCCGCGAAAGCGGGAGGAAGGAGGGGACGACGUCUGGUCAGCAUGGCCCUUACGGCCUGGGCGACACACGUGCUACAAUGCCCACUACAAAGCGAUGCCACCCGGCAACGGGGAGCUAAUCGCAAAAAGGUGGGCCCAGUUCGGAUUGGGGUCUGCAACCCGACCCCAUGAAGCCGGAAUCGCUAGUAAUCGCGGAUCAGCACGCCGCGGUGAAUACGUUCCCGGGCCUU
Molecule: ribosomal RNA, 361 nt
Filed under: uncultured Thermus sp.
Lineage: Bacteria; Thermotogati; Deinococcota; Deinococci; Thermales; Thermaceae
Description: bacterial SSU rRNA
Rfam family: Bacterial small subunit ribosomal RNA
Source: RNAcentral